RNAcentral lists this non-coding RNA (26 nucleotides) under Macaca fascicularis (crab-eating macaque). RNAcentral also lists the same sequence under 1 other name. Lineage: Eukaryota; Metazoa; Chordata; Mammalia; Primates; Cercopithecidae. The record is from RNAcentral.
GACAGAUUCAUGGGUUUUUGAGCAGC